GCUGUGGUGGUGUAAUGGUUAGCAUUUCUGCCUAGUAUGCAAGACCCGGGUUCGAGCCCCGGCCGCGGCA
Schistocerca cancellata (South American locust) is the source of this 70-nucleotide non-coding RNA. Lineage: Eukaryota; Metazoa; Arthropoda; Insecta; Orthoptera; Acrididae. The record is from the annotation of a RefSeq genome assembly.